Molecule: ribosomal RNA, 318 nt
Filed under: uncultured bacterium
Lineage: Bacteria
Description: bacterial SSU rRNA
Rfam family: Bacterial small subunit ribosomal RNA
Source: RNAcentral
AACGAACGCUGGCGGCGUGCCUAACACAUGCAAGUCGAACGAGAAAGCGGGCUUCGGCCCGCCGGUACAGUGGCAGACGGGUGAGUAACACGUGGGUAACCUGCCCGGAGGUGGGGGACAACUCUCCGAAAGGAGAGCUAAUACCGCAUGACAUCCGCGGAGCGACAGCUCUGCGGAUCAAAGCUAGCCUCUACAUGUAAGCUAGCGCCACCGGAGGGGCCCGCGGCCCAUUAGCUAGUUGGUGAGGUAACGGCUCACCAAGGCAACGAUGGGUAGACCGGCCUGAGAGGGCGAUCGGCCACACUGGAACUGAGACAC